This 427-nucleotide ribosomal RNA is filed under the name uncultured bacterium. RNAcentral describes it as "bacterial SSU rRNA". It matches the Rfam family "Bacterial small subunit ribosomal RNA", at positions 355 to 774 of the family's 1533-position model. The record is from RNAcentral.
UGGGGAAUUUUGGACAAUGGGGGAAACCCUGAUCCAGCCAUCCCGCGUGUGCGAUGAAGGCCUUCGGGUUGUAAAGCACUUUUGGCAGGGAAGAAAAGGCUCGGGCUAAUAACCUGGGCAAAUGACGGUACCUGCAGAAUAAGCACCGGCUAACUACGUGCCAGCAGCCGCGGUAAUACGUAGGAGACAAGCGUUAUCCGGAGUUACUGGGCGUAAAGGGCGUGCAGGUGGCGUCUUAAGUCUGUUGUGAAAGCGCCUGGCUUAACCGGGCGAGGCCAAUGGGGACGGAGAGGCUGGAGGACGGCGGAGGGGUGUGGAAUUCCGGGUGUAGUGGUGAAAUGCGUAGAGAUCCGGAGGAACACCAGAGGCGAAGGCGGCACUCUAAGCCGUACCUGACACUGAGACGCGACAGCACGGGGAGCAAACG